GAUGAACGCUAGCGGCAGGCUUAACACAUGCAAGUCGAGGGGUAGAGGUUGCUUGCAACCUUGAGACCGGCGCACGGGUGCGUAACGCGUAUGCAACCUACCUUUUACAGAGGGAUAGCCCAGAGAAAUUUGGAUUAAUACCUCAUAGUAUAUAACCUUCGCAUGUUGGUUAUAUUAAAGUUCCAACGGUAAGAGAUGGGCAUGCGUCCUAUUAGCUAGAUGGUAAGGUAACGGCUUACCAUGGCAACGAUAGGUAGGGGUCCUGAGAGGGAGAUCCCCCACGCUGGUACUGAGAACCGGACCAGACUCCUACGGGAGGCAGCAGUGAGGAAUAUUGGACAAUGGGCGCAAGCCUGAUCCAGCCAUGCUGCGUGCAGGAAGAAGCAUCUAUGGUGUGUAAACUGCUUUUGUACAGGAAGAAACACCCCGACGUGUCGGGGCUUGACGGUACUGUAAGAAUAAGGUUCGGCUAACUCCGUGCCAGCCGCCGCGGUAA
RNAcentral lists this ribosomal RNA (496 nucleotides) under uncultured bacterium. RNAcentral's name for it is "partial 16S ribosomal RNA". It matches the Rfam family "Bacterial small subunit ribosomal RNA", at positions 28 to 523 of the family's 1533-position model. The record is from RNAcentral.